GGGGGUGAUCGGGAAGAGGCGCGACCUGGGGCCCUAGGAAGGGUGGUCUUUCCCGCAGAGUUGCCGCUAGAGGACGGAAAGUUUGCACAUGCAGCCCUCUCACCGUGUCCUUCCCUCGCCGGUCCCUGUCGCCCGCGGUGAGGCGCCCCCGGGGGGAUCCCCGCGACUUAGAGGGGAGGAGCCGAGCAGGAUUCUGCAGAUGCCUUUGGGAGCUGAGACCAACGAGUAGAGGGAAGUGGUGCUAAAAAGCAGACACCGUGCUUGACGUCAUUCAUCCAUCCAUCCCUCCAUCCAUCUAUCCAUCCAUCCAUCCAUUCAUCUUGUCAACAAAUAUUGCCUGUCAGGGACCAGCCUGCAUCAGCAGAGGAAGACAAAUGAGACCCAGCCCAGCUCUUGUGGAGAUGCAGUCUGGCGGUCUCUGUGGAAGAAGGAAGGUGUGAAACUUAUCACCAACUUGGGAAAACAAGACAGACACAGUUACUGACCAGUGAAUGGUGUGUCUCUCAGAGCUGUGCCUGUUCAUAGGAGGAACUGAAAUCUGGUUUAGAGUGAUCAGAAAGUGCGUCACAGAGAAGAUGGGAUCUGCUUUGCAUCUUGGAAAUUGGGAAGGAUCUAUAAUGGAUGUAUUGGACUAUGGCAGCUGGUUAAAAAAGUAGUGCUGUGGUAUCAUAGUGUGAAGGCCUGAACUUUGCUGGUCCCAUGCCGGUGAGAAGAGGAGACAGGCGUGAGAAACUCUAUGAAGAAAGCGCCUCCUCAGAGGGGGAAGUCCACCAUCACGUUGUGAACUGCCCUAUGAAGAGGCACAGGUGGCGAGGAACUGAGGGGGCCUCUGGCCAACAGUCAGUGAGGAACUGAAGCCCACAGUCCAACAGCCUGUGAGGUGCUGAAUCCUGCCAACAGCCAUGUGAGUGAGUUUGGCAGCUUCUCCUCCUCCAGUCGGGCUUUGAGAUGAGACCACAGCCUUGGCCCACACCUGCGAGGGACUUUGAGGCAGAGGCACUCAGCUAAGUCAUGCCUGUAUGCCUGACCCACAUACGCUAGAAUGACCACCUAACCCUCAUCAACCACUUUGCUGUCGUGGGCUUCUUUCAUCACACAGAAACCUAGCAAGGGUAUGGUGGGAGCUGUGACACCCAUCUUCACGACGAGAAAAACCCAAAGUCCUUUCACUUUCAAUACAUGAAGGCCAGAUUAUGUUAUCGGAUGAAUACUAUUUGCAGAAUCAAAGAAAACAUACGGAUAAGCCAGCCCUGGUGGUCUAGUGGUUAAGAUUCCGUGGAGCACCGUCGCCCAGGUUUGAUUCUGGUCAAGAAACCACACCACCUGUCUGUUGAUUGUCAUAUUGUGGCAGCUGCGUGCUACUGUGAAGCUGAAGGCUAUGCCACCAAUAUUUCAAAUACCAGCAGGGUCACCCAUGGUGGACAGGCUUCAGUGGAGCUUCCAGACUAGAAGGAGUAGGAAGAAGGACCCACACCCACUGCUGAAAAAACUGGCCAUGAAAACCCUAGGAAUAGCAGCAGAACAUUGUCUGAUAUAGCACCAGAAGAUGAGAGGAGAGGAUGAUGCAAAAAAGACCAGGCAGGGUUCCACUCUGCUGUACACAGGGUCACUAGGAAUUGGAAUCCCCUCCACGGCACUAACAACAGAGAUAUGGACACUACAUGAUAUUAUGUAUUUAGAACUAUAUAAUAACAUAGUCAAGAUAGAUAAACAUAAUCACGUUUUUAAAUAAUCACUUUUAAAGACUCAUAGUAUUCUAGUGAAUGGUUGUCCUUAAAAUAUGAUAUAUUUAAAUCCUCAAUUUUGGACAUUUAAAUUGUUUAUUUAUAUAUUAUUAACAAUGUUAUAAUAAAUGUUUUCUGUAGCUAAAUCUUUUCACACAUUGGUGAUUAUUUAGGAUGCUUUCUUAUAAAUGAAAUUAAUAAGUCAAAGGGGAUAUGUAUUUAACAUUUUGAAAUUGUCAAACUUAGCCAGUAUAUGAGAAUUCCAACUCAUGGCCUCAUCUGUGCUGUAUCUAUUAUUCUUUUUCAUCUUUCAGUCUGAUAGGAAAGAAUUUCUUCUCUUGGUUAUUUCAGAUGUAUCUCUGAUUAUUGAUGAUUCAUAUUUCUUUUGUAACAAAUUUCUCAUUUUUCUAUUAGAGUGUUCACCUUUCUCCUAUUGAAUUGUGAAAGCUCUUUAUAUAUUAAAUAAAGUAACCA
Diceros bicornis minor is the source of this 2198-nucleotide long non-coding RNA. RefSeq lists it as uncharacterized. The transcript has 7 exons. The record is from RefSeq and is a predicted model, not a curated record. Lineage: Eukaryota; Metazoa; Chordata; Mammalia; Perissodactyla; Rhinocerotidae.